GAUGAACGCUGACAGAAUGCUUAACACAUGCAAGUCAACUUGGACUUCGGUUUGGGUGGCGGACGGGUGAGUAACGCGUAAAGAACUUGCCUCACAGAUAGGGACAACAUUUGGAAACGAAUGCUAAUACCUGAUAUUAUGAUUUUAGGGCAUCCUAGAAUUAUGAAAGCUAUAUGCGCUGUGAGAGAGCUUUGCGUCCCAUUAGCUAGUUGGAGAGGUAACGGCUCACCAAGGCGAUGAUGGGUAGCCGGCCUGAGAGGGUGAUCGGCCACAAGGGGACUGAGACACGGCCCUUACUCCUACGGGAGGCAGCAGUGGGGAAUAUUGGACAAUGGACCAAGAGUCUGAUCCAGCAAUUCUGUGUGCACGAUGAAGUUUUUCGGAAUGUAAAGUGCUUUCAGUUGGGAAGAAAAAAAUGACGGUACCAACAGAAGAAGUGACGGCUAAAUACGUGCCAGCAGCCGCGGUAAUACGUAUGUCACAAGCGUUAUCCGGAUUUAUCGGGCGUAAAGCGCGUCUAGGUGGUUAUAUAAGUCUGAUGUGAAAAUGCAGGGCUCAACUCUGUAUUGCGUUGGAAACUGUGUAACUAGAGUACUGGAGAGGUAGCGGAACUACAGUGUAGAGGUGUAAUUCGUAGAUUUUUGUAGGAAUGCCGAUUGGGAAGUGGCUUUUGUACUGAAACUUAAAGUCCAAGCGGGCAAUGUGGUUACAAAACCGAUUAAAUCCCAGGAUGUAUUAAGGUCGAGUUUAAAUUGGGGUUAGGCUAUUCGGCCGCCCCCCCCGGGGGGUCGGGCCUUUUAAAUCAAAUAAAUAAGGA
Molecule: ribosomal RNA, 817 nt
Filed under: uncultured Fusobacterium sp.
Lineage: Bacteria; Fusobacteriati; Fusobacteriota; Fusobacteriia; Fusobacteriales; Fusobacteriaceae
Description: bacterial SSU rRNA
Rfam family: Bacterial small subunit ribosomal RNA
Source: RNAcentral